Molecule: unclassified non-coding RNA, 148 nt
Organism: Pongo abelii (Sumatran orangutan)
Lineage: Eukaryota; Metazoa; Chordata; Mammalia; Primates; Hominidae
Rfam family: Metazoan signal recognition particle RNA
About the family: The signal recognition particle (SRP) is a universally conserved ribonucleoprotein. It is involved in the co-translational targeting of proteins to membranes.
Source: Ensembl
GCUGGGUGCGGUGGCGGGUGCCUGUAGUCCCGGCUACUUGGGAGGCUGAGGCAGGAGAAUCGCUUGAACCUGGGAGGUGGAGGUUGCAGUGAGCCGAGAUCAUGCCACUGCACUCCAGCCUGGGUGACAGAGCGAGACUCUGUCUCAA